RNAcentral lists this unclassified non-coding RNA (619 nucleotides) under Hevea brasiliensis (rubber tree). Lineage: Eukaryota; Viridiplantae; Streptophyta; Magnoliopsida; Malpighiales; Euphorbiaceae. The record is from RNAcentral.
GGUUAAUAGGAGAAGAUGAGAAAAACAGUGUGCUCUGAUGGCAAGUGGGAAUUGAAAUUGGCGAGAGAUCAGUUGAGAAUCUAUUGAGCUGCCGUAAUUGUGUAGGUGGUUAUUAACACCUGCAUUGCAACAGAAUUGUUGUACUGUAGCUGAAUAGUAGAGAUAUAUAGCUAUUGAUGAUUGUAAGAAAUGUUGGAUUUGAUCAUUAAUAUGAAUUCUCUUUAUGGCCUUUCUUCUUUUCUCUGAUCCUUGACCGUCAAAAGGUCAAACACCAUAAUGCCAUUGUUACUUAGUCACUGAUACAUGGCGAGUUUUUCUCCAGCAGAUGUUUCUUGGGAAUAUGAUGAUGAUGAUUUGAAAGCUAGAUUUCCUUAUUCUUCCUCAAGGACGAGGAAUCCUAAGUGGAGGAAUUGAUGGGAGAAGAUGAGAUAAAAGGUACGUUGUGAUGGCAAAUGGGAAUUGCAAUUGGCACGAGAUUUGUUGAGAAUCUAUUGAGCUGUUGUAACUGUGUAGGUGGCUAUUAAUACUUGUAUUGUGACAGAAUUGUUGCCCUGUGUAGGGAUAUAUAACUAUUGAUGAUUGUAACAGAAGUUGGAUUUGAUCAUCACUAUGAAUUCUC